Molecule: unclassified non-coding RNA, 231 nt
Filed under: uncultured fungus
Lineage: Eukaryota; Fungi
Description: sequence contains ITS1, 5.8S rRNA gene
Rfam family: 5.8S ribosomal RNA (bases 183-231)
Source: RNAcentral
UCUCCGUAGGUGAACCUGCGGAGGGAUCAUUACUGAGUGAGGGCUCCGGCCCGACCUCCAACCCCAUGUGAACCGAAACCUGUUGCUUCGGGGGCGCCCCUGCCGACGACCUCGUCGCCGAGCGCCCCCGGAGGUCUUCUAAACACUGCAUCUUUGCGUCAGAGUUUAAACAAAUUAAACAAAACUUUCAACAACGGAUCUCUUGGUUCUGGCAUCGAUGAAGAACGCAGC